AUGCCAUGGUGGGGGCAUUUCCUAAGCAACUCCUUAAACCUUUUAAAUGCCUCAUGGAACGCUUCCCCUGAAUGCUGUUGGAAGGCUCUGAUUGCAUCCCGAGCUU
Molecule: non-coding RNA, 106 nt
Organism: Helianthus annuus (common sunflower)
Lineage: Eukaryota; Viridiplantae; Streptophyta; Magnoliopsida; Asterales; Asteraceae
Source: Rfam